Molecule: ribosomal RNA, 387 nt
Filed under: Triatoma dimidiata (kissing bug)
Lineage: Eukaryota; Metazoa; Arthropoda; Insecta; Hemiptera; Reduviidae
Description: partial 16S ribosomal RNA
Source: RNAcentral
CAAAAACAUGUCCUUUUGUUUAUUUAUUUAAGGUCUGACCUGCCCAAUGAGGAAUUCAAUGGCCGCAGUAUUUUAACUGUGCUAAGGUAGCAUAAUCAUUUGUCUUUUAAUUGAGGGCUGGAAUGAAAGGUUGGACGAGAUAUUGACUUUCUUUAGUUUAAUUUUAAGAAUUUAAUUUUUGAGUUAAAAAGCUUAAAUUUAUUUGUUGGACGAGAAGACCCUAUAGAUCUUUAUAAUUUUAUAUUUUGAUAAUUUGGUGAUUUUAUUUAUUGUGAGUAGAAGAAUUAUUUUGUUGGGGUGACUGUAGAAUUUUAUUAACUUCUAUUAUUUUUAUUUCAUUUAUUGAUGUUUUUUUGAUCCAUAUAUUUAUGAUUAAAAGAUUAAGUU